GAUGAACGCUGGCGGUAUGCCUAACACAUGCAAGUCGUACGAGAGUUUUUAACUCAAGUGGCGGACGGGUGAGUAACACGUGAGAAUUUGCCUUUAGGAGGGGGACAACAACUGGAAACGGUUGCUAAUACCCCAUAUGCUUUCGAGUGAAAUGAAUUUAUUCGCCUAAAGAGAAGCUCGCGGCUGAUUAGCUUGUUGGUAGGGUAAGAGCCUACCAAGGCGACGAUCAGUAUCUGGUUUGAGAGGACGAUCAGACACACUGGAACUGAGACACGGUCCAGACUCCUACGGGAGGCAGCAGUGGGGAAUUUUCCGCAAUGGGCGAAAGCCUGACGGAGCAAUACCGCGUGAGGGAAGACGGCCCAUGGGUUGUAAACCUCUUUUUUCAGGGAGGAAUAAAUGA
This 403-nucleotide ribosomal RNA is filed under the name uncultured phototrophic eukaryote. Its description in RNAcentral is "bacterial SSU rRNA". It matches the Rfam family "Bacterial small subunit ribosomal RNA", at positions 28 to 456 of the family's 1533-position model. The record is from RNAcentral.